AAGUCCUGGCAGGCGUUCACAUUGACCUUGUUUGAGCAGGCGGCUGUAAUUAAGACGCUAGCUGGAAACCUGACUCCAGUGUGACGCAGCCUGAGGCUGGCUGCAGAAGUGGAGGUCGGAAAAAGAAAUGCGAUUCUCGUCGGCUCAGUGGCUGCACUCGAUAGUGCUGCCAAGGCCGAGGUUAGCCCACUAAUUCGUCCAAAUGAGCGCCCUUAUUCAUGGUAUCUUUAUACAUGCAGACACACUCACAUAAACACACAUACCAAUGUUCCCGCAGACCAGAGAGAAGUGGAGAGUUAUGAGGGCUUUGGUUUUCCUGGGACAGAGGAGAGCUGAGUAUGAUGUCGGCCAUUGAUCUGUUGUGAGUUCCUGUGGCGGAAUAUUAAAGACAGAGUGUAUUGGAAAACCAGAUGCUACGUGGCCUUACAUAACGAUCCCUUCCAUGAACAAGAAGCCAUUUGUCAAGAUCCCAUUUAAUGCAGCUCAGAAGCAGCUCAUAUGUCGGGAGAAAAUGACGACUGCUAUGUUCAUUAUUACAUCCAACAACAAAACACCUCAGUUGCUUAAUUUGGGACAUUCUUUUCUUCCCCUGCACCGGAGUCGACACAAUGGUGGACAGCUCAUAGCUCACUCAGGGCGGGUCUAAGCUCUUUUCCGCUGUUCAUGUUGGUUAUCCAUAACCAGUCUGGAACCAGCCCAGAACACUCAGUUGAGCUAAAUCCAAGUUCAUGUAACAAGAUCAGGACUUGGAGAUGCCGGCCUACCACAACAAUUUGGCAUUGUGGAGCGAGUGAUAAAAAGCAAGAAAAAAGGAGGCUCAGUUGUGUGUUGGGAUUAGAGUUCAAGAUAUCACUCUGACGUAAUGUGAGAGCUCUUGUGGCUGCUGCGGGUGAAGGGGCUCAUCGCAUGGUUUGGCUGCUACCCAAGACCUGAGCUUCAGUGACCAACAUCACGUCUGUGUCAGUUAACCUUUGCUUGAUAUCAUGCCUGCAUCUAUGUGUUCUUCUCUUUCUCCAUAUCUAUUAUUUAUUUAUUCAUUUAUUUUGUUUAUUGUGUAAUGCUGUUUACCACAAUGUGUCUUUGUUUCAUAUUGAAUGCAUUACUUUCAUCCUUAUACAUGAUACCAUUUAGGUGGCUGGGAUUGAUGUAGUGUAUUGAGGAGCUGGGGGAUUUGUGCAAAUGCACUACACAUAACUAAUAGAGUAUUAAUAGAGUGUUACCAAAAGGUCAUACGGAUUAUGAUAAGUGGGAUAUUUUAUUGUUCUACAGUAUAAAUAUGCAAAAUAUCUGUCUUUUGCUAACUGCCGCAUUAUUGUUACCAAAUUGACACCAAAAGGUGUUACCAAAAGGUCAUACUGAUUUUGUACAAUCUAAGGGGGAGAUUUUACUGUUCUACAAUGAAAAUAAGCAAAAUAACAGUAUUUUGAUAAGUACUAUUAUGGCAGCCUAAAGAGAUCAUUGCAGUGCCAGCUGGAGUAAUGUAGUAUAAACUAUGACUUUGCUUUAGAAAUGGUCCUUUAUUAAAAAAAAGUUCGUAUUUAUUGUACACACAAAAUUACAGUAAAGUGAAUCAUGAAGCUUAAAUCUUUGUUAGUUAUAAUAUGCAUUUGUGUUAUACACUUGUGUUAUAAAUUGUUUUUAAAUGCAUUAUUUCAUAUAAUUCAAUAAAUUAUGUACACACCUAUCCA
Molecule: long non-coding RNA, 1688 nt
Organism: Cyprinus carpio (common carp)
Lineage: Eukaryota; Metazoa; Chordata; Actinopteri; Cypriniformes; Cyprinidae
Source: Ensembl